AACCCGUCCCCUAAGUUUUGCAACUGUAGUAGUUUUGGUCCCCUAAGGCCAAUUUUUGAUUAAAAAAAAUAACACGUGACACCUCACUUAGGGUGCCACGUCAGCGUAGACUGGGUCAAAAUUGGCCUUGGAACCAAAACUGCCACAGAUGCAAAACUUAGGGGGCGGUUU
This 171-nucleotide microRNA precursor is filed under the name Medicago truncatula (barrel medic). RNAcentral describes it as "MIR2619 microRNA precursor family". It matches the Rfam family "MIR2619 microRNA precursor family". The record is from Rfam by way of RNAcentral. Lineage: Eukaryota; Viridiplantae; Streptophyta; Magnoliopsida; Fabales; Fabaceae.